Molecule: long non-coding RNA, 1563 nt
Organism: Callithrix jacchus (white-tufted-ear marmoset)
Lineage: Eukaryota; Metazoa; Chordata; Mammalia; Primates; Cebidae
Source: Ensembl
CCCCCGACCCCACACUGUCCCAGCAAGAGAAGCAGGAAACUCCGUGGGAAGACCUGGUCCGCCCAGGCCGUGCGGGGUGCGCGGCGGCCCGGGGCUCCGCCGAGUUUCUUAGAAAAGAGGCUGGGCCCCCAGACCUCAGCUCUGCAGAGACCAGACACCGGCGAGAAGUGGAGCCCCCUCCCCCUGCGGCCCGACCCCAGUUUCAACCCAGGCUGGGGCCCGCGGGAGGGAGGAGCGCGAGGCAGUGCCGACCCACAAACGGGCCCACCUGGACCGGGAGGGCGAGGCUCGGGCCCGGCCGAGCCAGGCAGCUGCGCAGAUGCGUCGCGGGCCUCGGACCCCGCCGGGAGGAGUGGGUCGCUCCGCCCUGACUCUGGGCUACUCUGGCCCUGGCUUCCCCAAGCCGGAGGGCUGGAUCGGCCAGUCUGGUCCCGAGGGAGGCCGCGGGUCCCCAGAUAUCUAGAGACACCCAGAGGUCAGGGGGUGCAGGGGCGGGGAGCGCCCCGGGACGCCCGGGGCUGGGGUCUCCCCAGAACGCGCCGUACGGGGUCCCGGCCCCCGGUCGCGGGCGCCUCCGCUGGGACUCCCCGGCCCCGCCCGGCCCCCUCCGCGGGUUCCCGAGCCCGGCUCCCGCGCGCACGGCCCGGCCGCGGAACUCGGCCGCACCCGCCCCGCGCGGCCGGCACUGCGGCAGGGGUCCGCGCCAAGUUGGGCGGACGCGGAGUUGCGGGAAGUGCGGGCCCGGUCGCGGGACGACCCCGCCCGGCGGCGCAACACAGGGGCGGCCGCGCGCGCCAACUUGGCGGUACCUGCGGGCGCCCGGCCCGGUCCGGCCUGGGCAGCUGCGGCGCGCCGCCAGCGGCAGGAAGUGCUCGGCGUCCCGGCGCUCCGGCUCCCAUGGACUUUCUCCGACCUCGCCCAGCACCGGCGGCCGCACCGCGGCGGGGGCGGGGCGGUGGCGGCGGGGGAGGUGCCCGCGGGCCGUUAAAGGGACAGCGCGCCGGACGCGCGCGCGCGCACUGGCAGCCAGGUGGGCGCCUGGGGCCGGGUCUGGAGGGACCGGGGGCCUGGAGGGUCCCGAGGGGGCCGGCGGGGGUGUGGGCGGGGGGCCCGAGCGCGGGGAAGGGGAGGAGGCAGCUCCUCGCCCCUCGCGUGUCCUCCUUCCGGAGCUGCCAGCGGCCGACCCUGCGCGGGACACCGGGCGGGACCGGAGCCGGACGCCGGGGUGCAGAGGACGGGGCUCGACGUCCGGGCCAGGGAAGGACCUGGAGCGCCGCCCUCCGCCCUCCCCGGCCCGGGCCCCGGCCCCGGCCGGACUCGCUAAGCCCCGGAGAGCCCCCGACCCACCCACUCGCUCGCGCCCUCCCCGCGGGGACCGCGUCUGCACCGUGCGGCCUUCGGGAUCCCGGCGGGAAGUGCGCGCAUCCGCAGCAGCCUUGGACGCUCAGGAGGGCCCUGGAAGACGCGAGUGCGGGAGCGCCCUCGGGCGAACUUCUGCGGGGCUCCGAAGCCCGUCCUGAGCUGCCAGGAUGUGGCCCGGUGCUGCUUUCAGGCCUGGUGUGA